CGAGAAUGGAAGAAUUCCUGCCACCCCGACCAGCCCUCAAACCUUGGGGUUCUUAAGGAAACCCAGAUUAAAGUCCAGAUCCAGCUGCACAAAGCUCUGGCUGCUUCGCACGGUGGAGAUGAGGAUGACGCUUCGUUCUUGGCCUUGGAAUUCUUCUACUGAACCCACCUAGUGGGGAAAGAGGCAGGGCCUGAGACCAGCCAGGGG
RNAcentral lists this long non-coding RNA (207 nucleotides) under Homo sapiens (human). Its description in RNAcentral is "LHRI_LNC406.1". Lineage: Eukaryota; Metazoa; Chordata; Mammalia; Primates; Hominidae. The record is from RNAcentral.